RNA transcript from Xenopus tropicalis (tropical clawed frog), 2124 nucleotides. It is a transcript of the gene named 15-hydroxyprostaglandin dehydrogenase, with no coding region annotated. Lineage: Eukaryota; Metazoa; Chordata; Amphibia; Anura; Pipidae. The record is from RefSeq and is marked provisional. The transcript is spliced from 8 exons.
AAGGUAGUGGCUGCUGUACCUAUAGCCAGCAUUAAGCUUUCAGCACAGUUCAUUCCCGCCCACUUGUAGAGAGAGUGAAGGAAAGGAAAACAGACAGAUAACACACACACACACACACUACUAGCUCCAGGAAGGGGGGGAGGACAAACACAAAAAGCUCAGAGACGAGGCUGGUCACACACACAGCUUGGAAGGUGACAGCAGAGACCCAAGCAGCAUCCUCCUACUGGGCUUCACUUUAAGCCUGGGACCUUGUACCAAGCCGGGGAGCACAUCCAGCUGGAGCCCUCAGUGGAGCAGCUAUCAUGUAUGCCAACGGGAAAGUGGCUCUGGUGACUGGAGCAGCCCAGGGCAUUGGCAGGGCUAUGGUGGAAGAACUUCUGCAGAAAGGGGCUGCGUUGGCUUUAGUGGACCAAAAUCGCAUAGCUGGUGAACUGUGCAAAGCUUCAUUGGAUGAACAGUUUGGAAGUCACAGGACAUUGUUUAUCCAGUGCGACGUCACAGAUCAGGAGCAGCUAAAAGAUGCUUUUCGAAAGACAGUGGAGCAUUUUGGAAGGCUGGACAUACUUGUUAACAAUGCUGGUGUAAAUAACGAAAAGGACUGGGAGAAAACCAUUGAAGUUAACUUGACUUCAGUUAUUCGAGGAACCUAUCUUGGCUUAGAACUUAUGAGCAAAAAGAACGGGGGUCAUGGAGGCGUUAUAAUCAACAUUUCAUCUCUGGCAGAUAAGCUUGGUCCAAUUGGCUACGAAUACUGGCUACGAAUACUCAGCAAAAAGACUUCCAUUGUCACCGCACAUUGAAUGGCUGCAUUUUAUGAACACUGUGUUCCUUGAAUUUAAUAGCACAUAUAAAGCUGACCUUAGAUCUGUGGCAAAUUAUGAACAGAGGUCUUACACCCGCUGCCUAUCAACCAGUUUACUCGGCUUCAAAACACGGGGUUAUUGGAUUUACGCGAUCAAUAGCUGCACUUGCUUCCAUUGGAAAUUAUGGCGUACGGAUAAAUACUGUUUGUCCAGCCUUUGUCGACACACCUCUUCUAGAAUCUAUUGAAAAGGAAGAAAAUAUGGGGGAAUUUUUUAAGUACAAAGAUAGAAUAAAAGAUAUGAUGAAAUGCUACGGCGUUCUAGAUCCAACUCUUAUUGCCAAAGGAAUGAUAAAUCUUAUAGAAGACGAUGCAUCCAAUGGGGCUGUAAUGAAAAUCACAACUUCCCGGGGGAUUCACUUUGAAGAAUUUGGAGUCCAACAAAAGACAAAAAUAUAAAAGUGUUUAUGAACCAAAUUACACUGAUUUUGUAUUAAAAUUCUACUCUUGUCUAAUCUCCCAAAGCUUUUCUACAAUGAAGUUGGCGCUGAAGAAUUUAAACAUUUUUGUUAAAUUUUAUAAUUUUGUUGUCAUUUGCAACUUAAUUAUACUUUUUUAAUAGCAUGCAGCAAUUUUAUAUUUGUCUUGAUUGGUUUCCUUUUCAAAGCAAUAGUUCUUAGCAAAGGCCUCUGCAAGACCGUGAUCCACAUUGCCAUCAGCUUGCAAAGGCUUGCUGUUUAAGGCUCCUAUAAGGGGGUACCAUAGUGCUUUCCUUCCCCAGUGUCACUGGUUGCCUAUGAAGGGGACCGGCCAAAUGGUGUAAGAUAGCAUACUCUUAAUUAAUCAGCAAUUUAUUUUUAACUUUUACAAGUUUGCACUAAUUUAAUCCAAGUGUUUACCUUUCGAUUAGCUCCACCGUUCAUUGUUUCCUAUGUAACAUAACAUACAUAUUCAAUAGACAAUGAUGUAUAUAUGAACUUAGUUUUGGAAUGAGGCGCCAUUUUCCAGCACGAGUCGCACUCCAGUAAAAGAAUGGCUGUUAGAAUAUUACAGGGAAAUGUUCAAUUUUGUACAGUACAGUAUAGUGAAGCAAACCUUGUACAGUUAUUUAAAUGUUAUUCUUGUAAAAUACUUUGUUGUGUGACUUGCUUUUACUGUUUUAUUGAGUCCUUCUAACGAUUUUUUUUCUUAUUUAAAAAAAAAAAUGUCCAUAUAUUCUUAUUUGUACAAAUUUUAAUACUCACCAUUGACUCAAAAUCCUUCAAAAAUCUUUAAAUAAAUCAUUUCUUAAAUAAAUAUGAAAGUUGUUUACAUACUUA